Molecule: ribosomal RNA, 468 nt
Filed under: uncultured bacterium
Lineage: Bacteria
Description: partial 16S ribosomal RNA
Rfam family: Bacterial small subunit ribosomal RNA
Source: RNAcentral
GACGAACGCUGGCGGCGUGCUUAACACAUGCAAGUCGAACGGAAAGGCCCUGCUUUUGUGGGGUGCUCGAGUGGCGAACGGGUGAGUAACACGUGAGUAACCUGCCCUUGACUUUGGGAUAACUUCAGGCAACUGGGGCUAAUACCGGAUAGGAGCUCCUGCUGCAUGGUGGGGGUUGGAAAGUUUCGGCGGUUGGGGAUGGACUCGCGGCUUAUCAGCUUGUUGGUGGGGUAGUGGCUUACCAAGGCUUUGACGGGUAGCCGGCCUGAGAGGGUGGCCGGCCACAUUGGGAUUGGGAUGCGGCCCAGACUCCUACGGGAGGCAGCGGUGGGGAAUAGUGCACAAUGGACGGAAGCCUGAUGCAGCAACGCCGCGUGCGGGAUGACGGCCUUCGGGUUGUAAACCGCUUUCGCCUGUGACGAAGCGUGAGUGACGGUAAUGGGUAAAGAAGCACCGGCUAACUACGUG